AAGUUUCCUCUCGGGGGAAGAUGGAGGAGAAGUUUCCCUCUGGGAGGAAGAUGGAGGAGAGGUUUCCCUCUGGGAGGAAGAUGGAGGAGAGGUUUCCCUCUGGGAGGAAGAUGGAGGAGAGGUUUCCCUCUGGGAGGAAGAUGGAGGAGAGGUUUCCCUCUGGGAGGAAGAUGGAGGAGAGGUUUCCCUCUGGGAGGAAGAUGGAGGAGAGGUUUCCCUCUGGGAGGAAGAUGGAGGAGAGGUUUCCCUCUGGGAGGAAGAUGGAGGAGAGGUUUCCCUCUGGGAGGAAGAUGGAGGAGAG
Molecule: long non-coding RNA, 301 nt
Organism: Oncorhynchus keta (chum salmon)
Lineage: Eukaryota; Metazoa; Chordata; Actinopteri; Salmoniformes; Salmonidae
Exons: 4
Source: RefSeq, a predicted model, not a curated record